CUCAGCACCCUCUAUUAGGUAUGACAAAUGCAAAACAUAUAACCUCAAUAUGCAAUAUAUAUAUAUAUCCUCAAUAGUCACCGCUGCUGUGCAAGAGGGUUGGCUGCAGGUCUAUGACAAACAAAUGAACAGAAGGUGGCAGUAACUAAUAGGAGUGCCAAAAGUAGGAAAUGAUGGAAGACCUGGGGAAUGGGAAAGAAAGAAGCUGGGUAUUCAUUUGCACUGAAGUCGUACAGCAAAGCGUGCCUGGUUUUGAAUCUCUGAUCUUCAUUUUGACAGAACAGAGGAAGAUGCAUGUGUCUGAGGAGCUGUGUGUUAUAUGCCAGGGCAAAAAUAGUAGAAGAAACAAAGGUAUCAAAACAACACAGCCUAAAUCCUCUUCAAGGCUCUUUUAGACCAGAAGCAAUACAGAAGAGGGUAAAAAAAAAAAAACAACAAAACAAGAAGAAAAGAAAGAGACUGGAGAAAACUGAUUUUCCAUUACCCACCAGAUCAGUGGCUGAUCCAAAAAAGAAAUCCAAGCCAUUUAGUUCCUAAUGUAUUGCUUCACUCAAUAGACUAGGUUGUCACCAUGAGAUAGUCUGUAUUUUCUGCUCCAAGAGAAGAAAGUAGAAGUUACUUUGCUAAGACAAUAUCUGCCCAUGAAAAUUGUGCGCAACAUCUUACCAAGCACCUGUUUCUCAUUACUCUAUAGCCAAUGUAUGGCAACCAAAUUUAUCAAGAUCCAGCCAGAAGAUACUCAAACGGAGGUUUCUGAUUUAAUGUGAGGUUGAAGGGGUUGCCCACUUUCAACAGUCUUGCUUUCCAUAGUGAAAGGUUACUUGGUAGAUUGAUUUUAGCAGUAAAAGAUUACCUGGAGAUUGUUCCAGGACUGCAAUGGCAUCCUUAACAGCAUUCAUAAGAACACACUUGAGCCUCCUUCCUAAGAGAUUUAAUUCCUUAAAAUAUUUACUUCUAAAUUUGGAUCAAGGGGGAGAACAAAUUUAAGCACCAGAGUCACAAGCUCAUGAAAUAUUAUUCUCAAUGGAAGAAUAAAAUCAUGUCAGAUCACUAAAUUUCAGAAACAUUUUACCCUUUCUUGAGGUUUCAUUUCUGAGAUACAAGUUCUAUACAAAUUCCGA
Molecule: long non-coding RNA, 1121 nt
Organism: Pezoporus occidentalis (night parrot)
Lineage: Eukaryota; Metazoa; Chordata; Aves; Psittaciformes; Psittacidae
Exons: 3
Source: RefSeq, a predicted model, not a curated record